Long non-coding RNA from Canis lupus familiaris (dog), 276 nucleotides. RefSeq lists it as uncharacterized. NCBI's taxonomy places the organism in Eukaryota, Metazoa, Chordata, Mammalia, Carnivora, Canidae. The record is from RefSeq and is a predicted model, not a curated record. The transcript has 3 exons.
CCCAGAUUGUCAACACAGUUUGAAUGCUCAGCCUAUCAACAGCAGAGACCUAGGAUGAUCUCCUAAUGUGGCACCAUUCCCUGGAGGCAUCAGCCAGUGAUUUGGAGACCCAAGUUCCCAAAGGAUGAAUGCUUUUCCAGGAGGCUGACAUUUAUGGAUUGUAUCAACAAGGCUCUCUUGCUCUCUGGCUGUUCGUUGGAUUCAUGCAGAAGGAGGCACCAUCAGAAAUUGAAGAAUGGGAAGAAGAGAUUAGAAUAUUCCUUGAGCUUCCUCUUU